GACGAACGCUGGCGGCGUGCUUAAGACAUGCAAGUCGAGCGGGGUUGAUUGGGUGGCUUGCCAUCUGGUCGACCUAGCGGCGGACGGGUGAGUAACACGUGGGCAACCUACCCAUCUGACUGGGAUAACACCUCGAAAGGGGUGCUAAUACCGGAUACGACUCUGGUGCUGCAUGGUACUAGAGGGAAAGGCGGCGCAAGCCGUUGCGGAUGGAUGGGCCCGCGGCCCAUUAGCUAGUUGGUGAGGUGACGGCUCACCAAGGCGACGAUGGGUAGCCGGCCUGAGAGGGCGGCUGGCCACACUGGGACUGAGACACGGCCCAGACUCCUACGGGAGGCAGCAGUCGGGAAUCUUGCACAAUGGGCGAAAGCCUGAUGCAGCGACGCCGCGUGAGGGAUGAAGGCUUUCGGGUUGUAAACCUCUGUCCCUGGGGACGAAGGACCACACAGGAAAUGGUGUGGGGUGACGGUACCCUAGGAGGAAGCCCCGGCUAACUACGUGACC
Molecule: ribosomal RNA, 504 nt
Filed under: uncultured bacterium
Lineage: Bacteria
Description: bacterial SSU rRNA
Rfam family: Bacterial small subunit ribosomal RNA
Source: RNAcentral